This 1487-nucleotide ribosomal RNA is filed under the name Lactiplantibacillus plantarum. Its description in RNAcentral is "bacterial SSU rRNA". The record is from RNAcentral. Lineage: Bacteria; Bacillati; Bacillota; Bacilli; Lactobacillales; Lactobacillaceae.
CGGCAUUGGCGCGUGCUAUACAUGCAAGUCGAACGAACUCUGGUAUUGAUUGGUGCUUGCAUCAUGAUUUACAUUUGAGUGAGUGGCGAACUGGUGAGUAACACGUGGGAAACCUGCCCAGAAGCGGGGGAUAACACCUGGAAACAGAUGCUAAUACCGCAUAACAACUUGGACCGCAUGGUCCGAGUUUGAAAGAUGGCUUCGGCUAUCACUUUUGGAUGGUCCCGCGGCGUAUUAGCUAGAUGGUGAGGUAACGGCUCACCAUGGCAAUGAUACGUAGCCGACCUGAGAGGGUAAUCGGCCACAUUGGGACUGAGACACGGCCCAARCUCCUAACGGGAGGGCAGCAGUAGGGAAUYUUUCCACCAAUGGACGAAAGUCUGAUGGAGCAACGSCGCGUGGAGGUGAAGAAGGGGUUUCGGCCUCGUAAAACUCUGUUGUUAAAGAAGAACAUAUCUGAGAGUAACUGUUCAGGUAUUGACGGUAUUUAACCAGAAAGCCACGGCUAACUACGUGCCAGCAGCCGCGGUAAUACGUAGGUGGCAAGCGUUGUCCGGAUUUAUUGGGCGUAAAGCGAGCGCAGGCGGUUUUUUAAGUCUGAUGUGAAAGCYUUCGGCUCAACCGAAGAAGUGCAUCGGAAACUGGGAAACUUGAGUGCAGAAGAGGACAGUGGAACUCCAUGUGUAGCGGUGAAAUGCGUAGAUAUAUGGAAGAACACCAGUGGCGAAGGCGGCUGUCUGGUCUGUAACUGACGCUGAGGCUCGAAAGUAUGGGUAGCAAACAGGAUUAGAUACCCUGGUAGUCCAUACCGUAAACGAUGAAUGCUAAGUGUUGGAGGGUUUCCGCCCUUCAGUGCUGCAGCUAACGCAUUAAGCAUUCCGCCUGGGGAGUACGGCCGCAAGGCUGAAACUCAAAGGAAUUGACGGGGGCCCGCACAAGCGGUGGAGCAUGUGGUUUAAUUUCGAAGCUACGCGAAGAACCUUACCAGGUCUUGACAUACUAUGCAAAUCUAAGAGAUUAGACGUUCCCCUUCGGGGACAUGGAUACAGGUGGUGCAUGGUUGUCGUCAGCUCGUGUCGUGAGAUGUUGGGUUAAGUYCCGCAACGAGCGCAACCCUUAUUAUCAGUUGCCAGCAUUAAGUUGGSCACCUCUGGUGGAAGACUGCCGGUGACAAACCGGAGGAAGGUGGGGAUGACGUCAAAUCAUCAUGCCCCUUAUGACCUGGGCUACACACGUGCUACAAUGGAUGGUACAACGAGUUGCGAACUCGCGAGAGUAAGCUAAUCUCUUAAAGCCAUUCUCAGUUCGGAUUGUAGGCUGCAACUCGCCUACAUGAAGUCGGAAUCGCUAGUAAUCGCGGAUCAGCAUGCCGCGGUGAAUACGUUCCCGGGCCUUGUACACACCGCCCGUCACACCAUGAGAGUUUGUAACACCCAAAGUCGGUGGGGUAACCUUUUAGGAACCAGCCGCGUAAGGUGACAGGUUGG